GAUACAAGGUGUGGCUCACAAAUUUGCAAGCUAGAAUGGGGUGUGGAGCAUCUACUGCAGUAGAUUCAAGCCAUCAGCCAAGAAGAGUUGUGCCUUCAGCUCCACCACCACAACCAACUGAUGAAAUAGUCUAUGUUCCACCUUUACCCCCCAUAAAUGGACCUGCCAGGGGAGGACUUGAACAUUAAAUAAAAAGAAAUAUGUCAUGUUCAAAUCUGUCAUGUUACCAUUCUUUACAUUGUGGGAUUUAAAUAAAAUAUAGAUUUAAUCUACAAUUUAUUUUGAUAUUCCUUUAACAUGUUUGUACAGCACUA
Molecule: long non-coding RNA, 314 nt
Organism: Amphimedon queenslandica
Lineage: Eukaryota; Metazoa; Porifera; Demospongiae; Haplosclerida; Niphatidae
Exons: 3
Source: RefSeq, a predicted model, not a curated record